CCUUUGGAGGGUUUGAUCCUGGCUCAGAGUGAACGCUGGCGGCGUGGAUUAGGCAUGCAAGUCGAGCGAUUCUAUUAAGCUAUUCGUUUUGGGGUAACUCAAGACAGAUAGUGUAGUAGAAUAGCGGCAAACGGGUGCGUAACGCGUUGGUAACCUACCUUAAGGAGGAGGAUAGCCUUGCGAAAGCGAGGGUAAUACUCCAUAAUACCAUAAGACAAAAGUUUUAUGGUUAAAGGAUGGCCUCUAUUUUUACUAUGCUGUCGCCUUAAGAUGGGCCUGCGUCCUAUCAGGUAGUUGGUGGGGUAAUGGCUCACCAAGCCUAAGACGGGUAGCUGGCAUUAGCGUGUGGUCAGCCACACCGGGACUGAGACACUGCCCGGACUCCUACGGGAGGCUGCAGUCGAGGAUCUUUCCCAAUGGGCGAAAGCCUGAGGAUGCGACGCCGCGUGGGGGAUGAAGGCCUUCGGGUUGUAAACCCUUUUUAUUAAGGAGGAAAGUCAAAAGAUGAAUAAUCUUUUGGCCUGACUGUACUUAAUGAAUAAGCCACGGCUAACUCCGUGCCAGCAGCCGCGGUAAUACGGAGGUGGCAAGCGUUACUCGGUUUGAUUGGGUGUAAAGGGUCCGUAGGCGGCCAAAUAAGUAAAAGGUGAAAUUUUUCCGCUUAACGGAAAAAUUGCUUUUUAAACUAUUUGGCUUGAGGGUGGAAGAGGAGAGCGGAACUGACAGUGUAAGGGUGAAAUCUGUGGAUAUUGUCAGGAACGCCCGUGGCGCAAGCGGCUCUCUGGGACAAUCCUGACGCUGAGGGACGAAAGCUAGGGGAGCAAACAGGAUUAGAUACCCUGGUAGUCCUAGCUGUAAACGAUGGGCACUGGAUGUUUCUGCCUUUUGGUGGAAGCGUCGAAGCUAACGCGUUAAGCGCCCCGCCUGGGGACUACGGCCGCAAGGCUAAAACUCAAAGGAAUUGACGGGGGCCCGCACAAGCGGUGGAACACGUGGUUUAAUUCGAUGCUACGCGAGGAACCUUACCAGGGCUUGACAUGUUGGUAGUAAUUACCCGAAAGGGUGGAUGACCUGUAACCAGUCAGGAGCCAACACAGGUGCUGCAUGGCUGUCGUCAGCUCGUGCCGUGAGGUGUUCCCUUAAGUGGGGAAACGAGCGCAACCCUCACUCUUAGUUGCCAGCACUUCGGCGUUUCGUCGAAGGUUGGG
RNAcentral lists this ribosomal RNA (1208 nucleotides) under Candidatus Omnitrophota bacterium. Its description in RNAcentral is "bacterial SSU rRNA". It matches the Rfam family "Bacterial small subunit ribosomal RNA", at positions 1 to 1135 of the family's 1533-position model. The record is from RNAcentral. Lineage: Bacteria; Pseudomonadati; Candidatus Omnitrophota.